AAGAAAUGACAAGACUAAGAAGUCAUGAAAGGAAUGAUGAGAGUAGGCAGCGCUCAUGGGAAAACAAGAAAAUGUAAAGCCAUUGUGUAAAUGAAACCACAUUUAAAUCAUUAGGAGGCAUAAAUAUUGCAGAAAUAAAGAGGACUGCUAUGAGGAAAUAAAACAGAGAGGAAAAAAGGCAAUAAAAGCAGCAAAAAAGGUGAUAGAUAUGGAAGAGAGAAAACUGAACUAACAUGUGGGUGGAAGUUGUUCUCUCCCAGGAGAACUCUUUUCUUAAAAGAGAGUACUGUUAGCCUGCUCUUUAAUUCUCUAGUUUUCAGUGUGAGGUUAUCUGAAUGAUGUAUUCACAAAAUUUGUAUAACCGUCUAAGUAGGGCCAUGAGUUGUGCAACUCAGGAGGCAUCCUCAUGGAAAAUGAAGGUGAACUGUGCUUCUGGAGGCACCAGGAACACCCAGUUCUGGGAGAUCUAUGCCCCCAGGAGAUAUAGAUAUUUGCCUAUGUUGCAGGCAACAGAAAAUCUUACCAAAUACGCUCUGACAGAAAACACUAGCAUCCAUGAGUCAAUCUUGCAAAUUGUCUUAAAGACAACGUAGAGUCAAUCAAGACUUAGAUCAAGAUGCAUGAUUUAGGUCUUAGACAUACACUAUAUUAAAGGAGAGUGGUGUGGGGUGGUGGGGGAUAAGAAUGGCCCUUUAUAAAGUAGGUACUGGGGCACCUGAGUGUCUCAAUUGGUUAAGUGUCCAACUUCAGCUCAGGUCAUGAUCAUGCGGUUCAUGAGUUCAAGCCCCUCAUUGGGUUCUGUGCCGACAGCUCAGAGGCUGCUUGGUAUUCUCUGUCUCUUCCUCUCUCUCUGCUAGUCGCCAACACAUGCACGCAUUCUCUCUCUCUCAAAAUAAAUAAAUAAACUAAAAAAAUAAAAAUAAAAGUAGGUUCUUUUUGAAUUUUCAUCUAAAAAGCUUGUACUAUUUUAAAAAUAAUCAAGACCUAGUUUUUAAAAGUCACCUUGUUUAGCUCUAUUUGAGCUAACACUAAAUAUGAUACUUUCUUUCCAACAUCAAGUAUUAUCCUAACAAUUAUAGUCGUAUAUUGUUUUAGAAUUGAAGAAAGUAUUUCCUCAAUAAGAUAACAUCUUAUUAAUAUGGUAACCUCAUUACAUUGGGGUGCUAUCUCUGUUGUACAUAACUUACCCUAGGUCAUCUAAUCACAACAUGUGGACAUGGGGUCCCUUGGCCACACAGUUGAUAAAAAGUACUUAAAAUACUUGGAAGUCACAGCCAAACUAGAAUCAAGUAAGACUCAGAACUGAGUUUUCUGAGGUACUACGAUGGCUGGGAAUGGGUAGGGGUGGAUAUAAGCAUAUAAAAUUUAGCGUUAAAGUCAAGCAUCUAGACAGGUUCUCUUUUCUGUAAGUCUUCGGGUUUGUUAGAGUUUCCCAUAUUUUAUAUUUCUUUUGAAUUACAAUCUCAUUUCAAAAAUAAAAUAAUUUGAAUAAACUUAUGUUUUUUCAAAGUGUCCAUUUCUAAAUCAAAACUGGACCCCAGCUUUGAAUAUGAACUCUAAGCAAUCUUGAAUCUACCUCUUUGCCUUUGAAUUCACCAAGGAAACAAAGUCUAGAUUCAGUCUGAGACUAAUUUUAUGAUUCUGUGGGUUUUUCUUUCUUUCUUUUUUUUUUUUUUUCUUUUUUUGUCAAAAUGUUGAGAUACAGAUCGCUAAGGAUCCAGAUACAGAUUUAGGGUAAAGAAAUGAAAGAUCCGAAAACUAGAAUUUGCUAGGCAGACUAGUGGGAGGGUCCUUUUGUGAUGAAAUGUUGCAUAAAUAAUGCCGAUGGGGGUCUAAAUUCACUGUUGCCAUGGAGACCUUUGUGCCUGGCUGAACUCAAUUCUUUUCUCUUUUAAGACUGCUACCACUAGGCUUGUGGUGUCUCUGAUGCCUCUUUGCUUUGCUUUCUCUUAAACUGUUGGCGAGUGAAAGAAGAAAUUAAACUAUGAUAAUUUGGCAUCCUGACUUUUGCGAGACUGUUCUUCCACUCCAUUCGUGAUUUUUGAGCUCCUCUGGGGUUCCUUUUAGCCCUGGCUCGGGGAGGGAGGAGCAGGUGCAGAAACGGCUGAAACCCCCGAAGGCUGCCUGGAAAGAGGGAAAAGUAACCCCUCAUCUUUGUGACUAGUCGACUUGUUGGCCUCGACUACAGUUUUGAAGUAUUUAAGGACCAUUUGUUUCCAAAGUACCUUAUAUUCAGCAAAUCGAUGUUGAGUUCCUCCCUGGUACUAAACAUUGUAUGCCAUGAACAAAAAGGAAAGAGGAAGUUCCCAGAGUCCAUGAACUAAAAAAUCUGGUGCAGAUGAAGAUAUGAGAACUUGUAACUGUAAUGCAGUAAAAAUUACUGCUGUAAUGGAGCCUGGCCAAGGAGAGCCAGAAACACUGCUGAACUUGAUACAGUACAUUAAAAUAUGAUUAUUUGAUCUUCCCAAACCAAAACGAGGAAAGAAUCAGUGACGUGCACAAUAUAAUUGUUAAAGCACGACUGUAAAGAUAGUUUUUAAAUAGUAGCCAGAGAAAUCCUCUGGAAACGUAAAUCCUAACAUUUAAAAAGUUUCGACUAUUUUUAGUCUAAAAUUUUACUAUAUGCAGAGUCAAGGUCAAAGACCAUGCAGUCGCCCAAGCCCCUCAAUCGUGUGUCUCCUACCACCCCUGGCUCUCCCACCUUUCCUAAAUCGUAACCUCUUGCCCACUUUGCUCCAGCAUAGAACCUCCUUGCCAUUUGUAGAACCAUCACAUGGCCUUGGCACUUGCCAUUCUUUUCUGCUGAAAACAGAAAACAGCAGCCCCCAACCAGAAUCCAGCCCAGAUAUACACGUGCCCCCUUCCCCUCGUGUCUCUCAGGUGUCUGAUCAGAGGUCACCUUAUCGAUGAGUCGGGUCUUGAUAACCAUUGCCUCCCUGUCUUCUUUUCUUGCAUUAUUUUUCUCCUCCACCUUUACCACAGAUGGUACUCUAAGUAACCCAUUGGUCCAUCUUGUUCCACGUCCAUUUGUUUCUACCAGAACGUGAACUCCAUAAGAACAGGGAUUUUUGUCUAACAUUUUUACUGAUGCAUUCCCAGCACCUAGACCCUCGCGUGCCUUAUUUAUUGAACAAAUGAUGAACUAAAUAUAAAUUUCCUGGCACCAAAUAUACAGUGUUCUACUUUGGUGUUGUUGUUGUUUUUCGAUUUUUUUAAAAUAAAGUAGAAAUUUUCACAUUUA
This is a long non-coding RNA of Acinonyx jubatus (cheetah), 3241 nucleotides long. RefSeq lists it as uncharacterized. Lineage: Eukaryota; Metazoa; Chordata; Mammalia; Carnivora; Felidae. The record is from RefSeq and is a predicted model, not a curated record. The transcript has 2 exons.